GAUGGGGACUCUAGCAAGACUGCCGGUGUAAACCGCGAGGAAGGUGUGGAUGACGUCAAAUCAGCACGGCCCUUACAUCCAGGGCUACACACGUGUUACAAUGGCCGGUACAGAGGGCAGCUACUUAGUGAUAAGAUGCCAAUCUUCAAAACCGGUCUCAGUUCGGAUCGAAGUCUGCAACCCGACUUCGUGAAGCUGGAUUCGCUAGUAAUCGCAUAUCAGCCAUGAUGCGGUGAAUACGUUCCCGGGCCUUGUACACACCGCCCGUCAAACAAUGGAAGCCGGGGGUACCUGAAGUAUGUAACCGCAAGGAGCGUCCUAGGGUAAAACUGGUAACUGGUGUUAAGUCGUAACAAGGUA
RNAcentral lists this ribosomal RNA (360 nucleotides) under uncultured bacterium. RNAcentral describes it as "SSU rRNA". It matches the Rfam family "Bacterial small subunit ribosomal RNA", at positions 1130 to 1498 of the family's 1533-position model. The record is from RNAcentral.